CUGGGGUUAGGGCUCAGUGGUAGAGUGCUUGCCUAGCAUGUGCAAGGCCGUGUGUUCGAUCCUCAGCACCACAUA
RNAcentral lists this transfer RNA (75 nucleotides) under Marmota monax (woodchuck). RNAcentral describes it as "tRNA.Ala". The record is from RNAcentral. Lineage: Eukaryota; Metazoa; Chordata; Mammalia; Rodentia; Sciuridae.